AUGUCCUUGUGCUCCGCGUCGAAGCUGAGCUUGAACACCUCGCGCGCGUCCUCCGUGGUCCGCCGCCUGCCGGCGCCCCCAUCGUGCUUCCUGCUUAGGCGCCACGUGACCUUUGCCCCGUCGAACACGUCGACGACCGCCGUGCCGGGGCGGAGGGCGAGCAGGACGUGCUCCGCACCGGCCCCGCGCGGCAGGCUGGCCUUCAUCAGCGGCACGGACGGUGCCGCGGCGAGGAGCGUGGAAACGUACGCCUUGGCCGCCAAGAAGACGCGGUUGUGCAGGGCGCCGUCGAACUCCUCGAUGAGCACGGCGUGGCGCCGGGCGGAGGCUGGCGGCAGGAGGAGCAGCGCGCCGAGGGCCGUGCCUGGGAGGACGUCGGCGAGCACCCGGCGCAGCAGCAUGGCCGCGCCCAGCACGGAAGUUGCCGUCGUGACGGCGCUCUUGUACCGUUCCAGCGCUCUGCUGUUGGGGGAUGUCAUGGCCAUGGCCGGCUCCAACUAA
Molecule: ribosomal RNA, 501 nt
Filed under: Triticum aestivum (bread wheat)
Lineage: Eukaryota; Viridiplantae; Streptophyta; Magnoliopsida; Poales; Poaceae
Description: partial small subunit ribosomal RNA
Source: RNAcentral